GGGGAAUAUUGCACAAUGGGCGAAAGCCUGAUGCAGCAACGCCGCGUGAGGGAUGACGGCCUUCGGGUUGUAAACCUCUUUUAGUAGGGAAGAAGCGAAAGUGACGGUACCUGCAGAAAAAGCACCGGCUAACUACGUGCCAGCAGCCGCGGUAAUACGUAGGGUGCAAGCGUUGUCCGGAAUUAUUGGGCGUAAAGAGCUCGUAGGCGGUUUGUCGCGUCUGCUGUGAAAUCCCGAGGCUCAACCUCGGGUCUGCAGUGGGUACGGGCAGACUAGAGUGCGGUAGGGGAGAUUGGAAUUCCUGGUGUAGCGGUGGAAUGCGCAGAUAUCAGGAGGAACACCGAUGGCGAAGGCAGAUCUCUGGGCCGUAACUGACGCUGAGGAGCGAAAGCAUGGGGAGCGAAC
Molecule: ribosomal RNA, 405 nt
Filed under: uncultured bacterium
Lineage: Bacteria
Description: bacterial SSU rRNA
Rfam family: Bacterial small subunit ribosomal RNA
Source: RNAcentral